CUCAGAACGAACGCUGGCGGCAUGCCUAACACAUGCAAGUCGAACGAGACCUUCGGGUCUAGUGGCGCACGGGUGCGUAACGCGUGGGAAUCUACCCUUGGGUUCGGAAUAACUCAGAGAAAUUUGAGCUAAUACCGGAUGAUGUCGCAAGACCAAAGAUUUAUCGCCCAAGGAUGAGCCCGCGUAGGAUUAGCUUGUUGGUGAGGUAAAAGCUCACCAAGGCGACGAUCCUUAGCUGGUCUGAGAGGAUGAUCAGCCACACUGGGACUGAGACACGGCCCAGACUCCUACGGGAGGCAGCAGUGGGGAAUAUUGGACAAUGGGCGAAAGCCUGAUCCAGCAAUGCCGCGUGAGUGAUGAAGGCCUUAGGGUUGUAAAGCUCUUUUACCCGGGAUGAUAAUGACAGUACCGGGAGAAUAAGCCCCGGCUAACUCCGUG
RNAcentral lists this ribosomal RNA (438 nucleotides) under uncultured bacterium. Its description in RNAcentral is "bacterial SSU rRNA". It matches the Rfam family "Bacterial small subunit ribosomal RNA", at positions 23 to 507 of the family's 1533-position model. The record is from RNAcentral.